RNAcentral lists this ribosomal RNA (206 nucleotides) under uncultured bacterium. RNAcentral describes it as "partial 16S ribosomal RNA". It matches the Rfam family "Bacterial small subunit ribosomal RNA", at positions 568 to 773 of the family's 1533-position model. The record is from RNAcentral.
CUCGUAGGCGGCCAACUAAGUCAGACGUGAAAUCCCUCGGCUUAACCGGGGAACUGCGUCUGAUACUGGAUGGCUUGAGAUUGGGAGAGGGAUGCGGAAUUCCAGGUGUAGCGGUGAAAUGCGUAGAUAUCUGGAGGAACACCGGUGGCGAAGGCGGCAUCCUGGACCAACACUGACGCUGAGGAGCGAAAGCCAGGGGAGCAACG